CCUUCGGUGUCCGAGUUGUAAUUUGAAGAAGGUAACUUUGGAGUUGGCUCUUGUCUAUGUUCCUUGGAACAGGACGUCACAGAGGGUGAGAAUCCCGUGCGAUGAGAUGUCCAACUCUAUGUAAAGUGCUUUCGAAGAGUCGAGUUGUUUGGGAAUGCAGCUCUAAGUGGGUGGUAAAUUCCAUCUAAAGCUAAAUAUUGGCGAGAGACCGAUAGCGAACAAGUACAGUGAUGGAAAGAUGAAAAGAACUUUGAAAAGAGAGUGAAAAAGUACGUGAAAUUGUUGAAAGGGAAGGGUUUGAGAUCAGACUUGGUAUUUUGUAUGUCUUGCUUUCGGGUGGGGCCUCUGCAGUUUACUGGGCCAGCAUCGGUUUGGACGGUAGGAUAAUGACAUUGGAAUGUGGCACUACUUCGACUGGUGUGUUAUAGACUUUGUUGAUACUGCCUGUCUAGACCGAGGACUGCGUCUUUGACUAGGAUGCUGGCAUAAUGAUCCUAAACCGCC
RNAcentral lists this ribosomal RNA (504 nucleotides) under Spathaspora sp. BG090908.5.1.1.1.3. RNAcentral describes it as "eukaryotic LSU rRNA". It matches the Rfam family "Eukaryotic large subunit ribosomal RNA", at positions 128 to 649 of the family's 3401-position model. The record is from RNAcentral. Lineage: Eukaryota; Fungi; Ascomycota; Pichiomycetes; Serinales; Debaryomycetaceae.